UUUACUCCUUCACUUGUUCUCCCACAGUUGUUAUUGUUAGCAGAUCUCAGCACACUCUUGUUGCUCUCUAAAGAAGAAAUGUUGGGUGAAGAUGACCAUGAACUCGUUGGGAGCUCUGUCCCAUCAGUUUCACCAAAGCCAGUGAGAGGUCCUUUGAGUAUUUCAGAAUGGACUUUUGGUGAAGUUGCUUUAUCACUGUUAUUUCCUUCUUCAUUUGAAAACUCAGGAGCUUUAACAGCAAUAGUUUUUGAAAAUUUUGAAGAUGAAGUUAACAAUCCAGCAUGUGCAGAUGCUAAAGCAUCAUCAAUUGAUAAACCAAGUUUUUGUUUCUCCUUUGGAGAUUCCGUCACUGGUUCUGCUGCAUCAUCUUUUUCUUCAUCAUCUGAUUUCAUCGCAUCAUCUUCUUCAUCAUCAUCACAAUUUGAAAUCUCUGGAGCAGUAACUACAACACUAGGAUGCGACCCAGAAGCGUUCAGUGAAACAGGGGGAACAUCAGACUGAGCAGAUGAAACAGCUGGUACUGAAUCCUUCUUAUUGGCAUCAGAAGCUGCAUAACUAAGAUCUGCACCACUGUUAUAUAGGGAACUGGUCUCUGAUUCACUGCAAGAAAAUUCAGGAGCAGAUAUUCUGUUGCAAGAAAGCAACCCCGAAUUCUGGGUUUUCUUAGUGAGCACUUCAAGUUGCUGCUCUACUCUUUGGAGCCUCUCAUCAAUGCUUCUUAUGGGCUUUAGCAUACAAUCCUCAAACCUCAAAAAGAGAUCUUCCAUUCUGGUAACUCGAGAAACAAGCUGGUGCAGAACACCUUCAAUAUGAUUGUGUGAUAUAUCAGGCUUGCUCUCUUUAUCUGAUACUUGUGGAGGAAUCUCCAGCUCAACCGGUUUGGCAGGUACUGUAAGGUCAAUGCAAUUGCCUGGGGAAUCACCUUCAUCCCCCUCACUGUGCAGCAAGUGUCCAUUUACUCCUUCACUUGUUCUCCCACAGUUGUUAUUGUUAGCAGAUCUCAGCACACUCUUGUUGCUCUCUAAAGAAGAAAUGUUGGGUGAAGAUGACCAUGAACUCGUUGGGAUCUCUGUCCCAUCAGUUUCACCAAAGCCAGUGAGAGGUCCUUUGAGUAUUUCAGAAUGGACUUUUGGUGAAGUUGCUUUAUCACUGUUAUUUCCUUCUUCAUUUGAAAACUCAGGAGCUUUAACAGCAAUAGUUUUUGAAAAUUUUGAAGAUGAAGUUAACAAUCCAGCAAGUGCAGAUGCUAA
Molecule: long non-coding RNA, 1250 nt
Filed under: Jatropha curcas
Lineage: Eukaryota; Viridiplantae; Streptophyta; Magnoliopsida; Malpighiales; Euphorbiaceae
Description: long non-coding RNA (JCUR_LNC000560)
Source: RNAcentral